RNAcentral lists this transfer RNA (71 nucleotides) under Minisyncoccota bacterium. RNAcentral describes it as "tRNA-His". It matches the Rfam family "tRNA". Rfam says of the family: Transfer RNA (tRNA) molecules are approximately 80 nucleotides in length. Their secondary structure includes four short double-helical elements and three loops (D, anti-codon, and T loops). Lineage: Bacteria; Bacillati; Minisyncoccota. The record is from RNAcentral. RNAcentral also lists the same sequence under 1 other name.
GAGACAUUGGUGUAGCAGUAGCACUGCACUCUGUGAAAGUGCCAGCGAGGGUGCGAAUCCCUCAUGUCUCC